GACGCACUGGAACAGGUUGCCCAGAGAGACUCUGGGUGCCCCAUUGCUGGAGGCGUUCAAGGCCAGGCUGGAUGUGGCUCUCAGCAGCCUGCUCUGCUGGUUUGCAGCCCUGCCCACAGCAGGGGGGUUGGAACUACAUGAUCUUUGAGGUCCUUUUCAACUCAGGCCGUUCUGUGAUUCUACGAUUAAGUGAACCAACUACCUAAUUCUCCUUUAAACGGCAAAAUCAGAAAAACAAAUGCCCUCUUUUCUAGAGCUUCUCUCCAGCAGAAGAGCGUUAUAAAUUCUGACCAUUUUCCUUUGAACUGAUUCCUAGUGCAUGUUUCUUGUUUAGGAAAAUCAAGCGUAUUUGGAGUGCCUGCAUCUCACAUAGAAGAGAAACUGCUAACCUCCUCAUUGCUGAGGGCACGGGAUCAAGAGUAGCUGAGCCUGACCUGUAGUUCAUGGGAGCCAACAGGAACUCAGAAGCGAGCCUGCCACAAGUGUCCAGUCAUGAGGAGCUGAGCCGCUCCAGGAGUGGAUCAGAGCCACUCAGCCUUCCUGCGUGAUGGUAAAUAAAAUGAGCCAGCUCUAUACAAGGAUCACUGCCCCUGAGAACAACUGGCACAGCACAACUAUAGGGUAAGCUGAAUUUCCUCACUCUCUACACAGCAUGGUUGCAUCCAAAAUGCCUUCUUGGAGUCGUCCUUGUUGCAUCUUAAUUUCUAGCUGUAGUUGGAUAUGGUCCAGAAGCACCUGGAAGACUCUGAGUUCAUCCCAAAAAUGCUGCCAGACUUGGGCAGAGACAGCUGAAGAAUUACAGCCUUGUUCCUGGUUCUGCCCAUGCUCCUAUAUCUGGAGCAACUUUAUUCCUCUCUUCAGCUAAGAUCAUCCACCCUCCUUUCUGCAUGCUUCCAACUUACACAUGCAAGACAAAACAUUAGAUCCCUCCAAGGAGCAAUAGUCAUUCUGGUGCCCUGGAUGCUUGACACAUUGGAGAACAGGGUGCUAUCUCAGCAGCAGUUUUCUCCAUGGGCACUACUGUAUGAACCCCAUUAUGGAAAUGACAUCGCAGACCGACUUCUCAUUCUGCACUCCCAGGAAGCUUCAAGAUACCUGAAACAUAUCAGAAACCCAUAUGUUGGCAGCCCUGUCUACGCUUGGGAGCUGAUGUGGAUUCCAGGCCCAGAAACUCUCAUUCCACUAAAAGGAAGAUUAUACUAUUACACUGUAACAAAAUCUUGGGGAGUUCAAUUUCCAAAGAGCGUAUUUGCCUUUGUUGGGAGUCCCACGCAUAUCUACUGUGGUAAGAGCAGCACUGUAAUAUCUGCUACUCAAAAGAACAGCAGCUACAAAGAGAACUAGCCACCAACAUCAGCAUCUUCACUUUUAUCUUCAAACAACACAUGGUAUUAAUCUGGAGCCUCGCAUUCCUAAAAGUACUGGAAUCAUGAAGUGAUUUGCUUCCAGCAGGACCCUGAAACACAGAGUAACACAAGCGAAAACAGUCAGAAUGAACAAUCAGAGCAAAAUAUGCCUGCUGUCAAAUAGACUCUAAGCUUUUAGCUUUUCACCCGACAUCACCCAGCUGAUGAUUUGCGGGUCUCAUUCUACUUCCAGCCGCACCGCCUAAGUCGUGGAGGUGGGAGCAGUUACUGUGAGUCACUGAAACUUGGGGCAGCUUCAGAGAGCGACACGUGUUGGGACAGGGCAGGAUUAAUAAGGUCAGAAUCUCAUUCGCACGUCAGUUCUGCUCUGGCAUAAGUAUGUGAUGCACUGCAGCUUGGUCAUGUUUCAGUGGGGUUGCUUCAGAUCUGCUUUACUCUUUGUGAGAUCAGAAUCUGUGGCUGAUAUCGGAUGAAAAGUUAUGGUGACACCGAGGCAAUUUCUUUUGUAUUUCAUGUGAAGAAAGCUAAAAUAAAUAGCAUGAAAGGCCUCCCCUGUUAUUAGCUGGUGUGUUUGAAAGAAUCCUGCAGUUGUGUUUUAUCUUUUUUUUUUUUUUUUUUUUUUUAAAUCAGCAAGCCAGAACAUUUAAGAUAUAAUUAUUUGGAGAAAGGGGGAAGGGAAGUGUGCCUUUUGAAGAAAGUCCCACAAGCUUCCAAACACUUCAACAUUUCAUCGUGGCAAUCAGCCAGAUGCCAAACAAAAUGCUGCUUUCCACCAGGGAUCUGACAGGUGGCCUUUCCAAAGUUUACACAUUGAAGUGAGAGCUGAUGUUCUACUGCUUAUUUUUUUUGCCUUCUAAGUUAUUCCUUUAUUGAAGCCAGACUGAAGACAUCUUUCCAUGUAACAAAAGAUAAAAUCUAUCCCUGAAUAUUUUGGGAUUUCAAUGUGCCUUUCUUUUAUCCGUAUCUACUCAAGGAAUUAUUUUUUACACAUUCAGAUGAAGAAACAUUAGGCUGGCAAGAGAGAGAAAUGCAUGCACAGACAGAUGAAAGAUAAGCUAUUUGAAGCCUCACUGAUAACACAGGGCCAGAUACUACUUAGCUACAACCUGGGGCAGAAUCCCAUGUUUCCCUUGACGCAUUUCCUCCAUACCACCCUUCUGGCAGAGAAGAGGCCUGGCAUGUCAGCCUGAGAGCAUUUCCACCAGGUUCCAAGGUUCCUGGGAUUCUCCACCUGUCACCUGUUGCCCAAGGGCUGUCAGAUUUUUCUCCUCAGAAUUUUUAGAUGUUCCUGGAAACCCUCUAAAUCUACGCAUAGAAAAUAGCUGGAGAGACAAAGUGCAGGGCAAAAAUGAUGCAUCAUAGAUUUCAGCCAUACAUCUCAGUUUUCUUCAUGUGUGAAGUCCCUACAAAUACACAGAAAGAUCCAGGUUAAGAGAUGAGAGAAACUACAAAUCCCUCUGUAGAAACAACUGGUCUGCACUUCCCCCAAACAGAGAAGGGCUGGGUCCUCUUAGGAUACACUCUGUACUCUCUUUGCUUUCGGAAGUGCAGCACUCAAACAAAAAUCUGUACUGAUGAGCUUCCCACACAAGUCAGCAGAGCUACUCCUACGUCACAUGAACGCAAACCAAAAGGCAAUGAACCCUAUAAAUAAUGCAUACGUAAAGAGAGCAGCAAAUGCUGAUUUACAGAAUUUGAUCUCAUCUGAUGUGAGAUACAAUCAUGGAGUGAGUUGCUGGAGGUUAAUGGAGUUGCUCAAAACUGAUGACUCAGUUUACGAGACUCAAGUCUGACUCAGCUUAACCUAGUUCUGGGAUCAUAUUCUCAAAACUCAGAAGAGAAGACUUGGGGCUUCCCUUUGUGCUCAUUUAUAUCCCAUUUGGCUAUCAUGAAACCAAAAGAAAAGUGGGGUAUAUUAGAUAAUGUAGUACACAACCAAGAGGGAAACUCUGGCAGAGAAAAACCUAAGUUCUGACCAAAAAAAAAAAAAAAAAAAAAAAAAAAUCUUACUAUUGGCAAUCAUCAGUAAGGGAUCUAUGAGCUGGACUCAGUGAUACUUGUAUGUCCCUUCCAACCUGGGAGAUUCUAUGAUUCUGUAAUCUUUCCCACUGUUGUGUUUCUAUACUGCAGUCUUCACCAUAGCAUCUAAGCCAUUUCUGAGAGCUUCCCAAGGGACUUACAUCUGGUACAUACCAUCUGUGUGCCCAUCAUUCUCCUGGCAGUAGAUGAGCAGUGAUAUGCCUCUUUUGGAAGGGACUGCUUUAAAUUGCUGUUACAUAUAUUAAUGUGUGUUUGUACUGGAGAAGACAAGAUCAAACAAAUGGCUCUACACUUGAAGAAGGUAGACAAUCAGUGUGCAGGAACUCAGUUCCUGAGAGACUUUAUUCCACCAGCUGAAAACAGCACACAAGGCAUGUUUAUGGAGGAGCAUUCUCUUCUACUAAAUGGGCAAAGCUGUAACCCAUAGCAGUUCUCUUAUAUACAAACAAGUGCAUGUAUAUAAAUACAAUAGAAGUCUAGACAUCAAUUGGAGAUUUUUUAAGGAUUCCUAUGUUGGGCCAUUUUACCAUGAGAAAAUGCUGGAAAAGUGACCUUCCAGAUACAAAAUUAAAAGUAUGUGAGCAAAUAUGCCACCGAACACAGUUACUGUACAGUGCAAGUCUUUUAGACAGAGCUGAAUCACAAAAUCCUCUGAAUGUUCAAAAAUAAAACAAGAAAGUGAAAAUAUGAAACAUUAGUAUGGCACCAUCGUUGCUGAAUUGUUCACCCUUGGCCAUGAUCCUCCUAUUUUGACCAAUCUUUUCCAGGCCAUUCUUUGUUUUCCAAAAGUCAGACUACCACUCAAUUUGUCAGCAGUUCUACAUGUGACCGAGAGGGAAGUGCACUUCAGCAGUACUUAGUUAAAAUCUCAGCUUCCACCCAGUCAUGACAAUGGCAAAACAACCACCGAUUUCAGUCAUGCAAUUCAAGCAGACUGCAAAAUAAGCAUAAAAUAAGUUACAAUUGUUAGCAACGUUCCACAAUACUUAAAGCAGACAGAGAAAUGCUUGAACUCCUCUGUGAGUAGUAAAUAAGCCAAUAAGCUCUUGCCGUCUCUCCUCCCACCCCACAGCCAUAAGAAUAUUUGAAAAAGAAAAAAAAAGAGAGAGAGAGAGAGAGAGAGAAGGAAUAUAAUGAAAGCAAUGCAACAAAGCAGGCAAUUCCUUAGGAAUUAUCUCACAUUCAACAUCUCUUUGAAAUUAUCCAGCAACUAAACCACAAGCCCCCUGGUCCUUUUGGUCUUACAAAACAACAACAUAGUCUUCAGAUGCAGUAAUUAUAGGCAACAUGCACGAAGAAAAGCAAAUAAAGCAGUUUUAAUUGCCAGAGUCAAACACGUAAUUGUGUAUCUAUAAAGGUAAUUACAAACUAAAAGAUCAGUAAUGGUUCUUGUUUCUUCCGUUUUACCCUGAAGAAAAACAAUUAUCACUUAAGUAACCCUAAUCAUUUUAAUAUUUGUUCGGCAUAUCAGAAUCACAUCUAAAUCCCCUUCUUUUCUGAGGCAUCUGAAAUAUGUACUCAGAGCCAAACACUACGUUUUCUCAUUUCUAAUUCAGGAAAGUCUUGAUCCAAAACCCUCUGAUGGCAAUGGAAAGAACCCAUAGAACUCAUUACUGCUUAAUCAGAUUUUUUUUUUUUAAUUCUUCUUAUCUAUUUUUUAUCUCACUAGCCUCUCUCUCUGCAAGAGACAUUGAAAGUAUAAGGAUCAGGAAGGGACUCCAGAAAUGGGCAAAUAUGAAAUAUGUUGUUAUGUAUGAAGCUUCUCUACUGUUUAGUACUCACAGUAAAGCACCAGGCUGACGAUUUUGUCUACAGUUAUAAAACACCUGGAGUACGCCCUCAAUCCUUGAGUGAAAUCUCAGAGAAUGAUACCCAGUUAUUGCCUUUCAGCAUGGGUUGAUCCUGCAAGGGAUCUUUCUCUCCACUUGGAGGAAAACACAAGCACGUGCCAUAACACAUAAGUACUUGAAUAAAAUACCUCAUAGAAAACUAGCCUACUGCCAUCUACAGAGGUUGAUUAAGAACUUCAUUAAAGAAAUUAAAAGCACUGUUAAAUGUUUUAACCUCAGUUUGACACUCAGAGUACAUUCGGCCUUUGGAAACAUUUAUCAUACUUGCAACACUUUUCAAAAUCUACAAUAUUUGGUGUGGGAGAGAACGGAGAACAACAAAUGAAAUGAAAAAGACAGAUCUGGCUUGUUUCAGUAACUCUAGCUCUCAGGAACCAGAUCACAGUUGAAAAAUCAGAACUGGAAAUUACUAUUAUAACAUCAGUGAAUGUGAUCCUGAUGAAACAUUGAAAGGCGACUUUAUUUAAGGGGCAACAAGGGGGAGAUAAGAUCAAACCUCUCACUUUGUUCUAUAUGGACAAGCAGAUCUCAAUAACAAUAACAGCUCAUGCAGCCUCUCAAGCAUGAGCUGCUGAGCCAAUGAAGGAGGCAGCCAGGCUCACCUCCGAAGCCUAGUUUGGGCUCAAAUCAGCAUCCGCACUUAGAUCAGAGCCAACAGAAGUUAAGCCAGCAAGAAUAUUUUGGCACCAUUUCCUGGCGGCCACAGUGACCUCAUUUAUCUAUUAUGUAUUUUCUUUUUCAUGCUCUAUGUAUUCAGUCAGCUUUGCUGGCUGAUGUCCUGUUUUUUUGGCUUGUUCUACUAUGGCUUGGCUGUACCUUUGACUGUUUGGCAUGCCCAACUCUGGUAUCACUUGAUUUGUAAAGCUGCUGCAAUUUCUUAAUUGGACAAUUAUAGACUGGAAUCCAUUUAUGAAAGUUUGUUCUUAGCAUUCCACACUGCACAGAAACUAUUCAUUCACUCAUCAAGCUUGCUGAACACAGAGUAAUACAGGACUUUGCCAUGAAGUGGGAGGAGACUUGAGGGGUAAGACUGUGAUCAGUAAAUAUCACGAACUUCUCUUCAAAGUUCAAUCCAGUACAGCGCCCAUCUUUUCACAAGGGACUUCUGUUUUCCUCUCUUACACAAUUUUUAAGCUCUCUUUCUACCCACCUCUCACUCCAUAGUACCCAUUUAUCAUAGAAUCUUAAAAUCAAAUGAGUUAGAAGAGAUCCUUAAAGGUCACCUAGUCCAACUCCCCUGCAGCAAACAAGGACACCCACAGCUCAGUCAAGAGUGCCUUUGUGGUGUAUUUCCAUACCUUAGGUGCAGUCAACAGUUUUUCACCAGAGAGAAAGCUCUCAACAGAUCAAGCAAGGCAAAUAACAUUGAGUAACACCUACAUGUUACCCUUCCCCUAGCCAAGCAGAACUACAGCUGUAUCCUUAGCCCCAGUGGUUUCUGUUGCGCUGUUCAGAAGUCUACAAGAUACAGCAGUACUCAGAGUAUCCGGCAGGACAGCACGCAAUCACAGAAUUUCUCAAAGCUCUUCUACCUUAUACGCCUUCAUACUCCCCUUUCUCAAACCAGGUUUCCAGCUGUGUUUCCUCUCACCUCUUCUGUUGCUUCACGGCCCUUCAGCCACUCACAUCUAGUCCCCCUGGGCAAGUGCAGAGUGAUAGCAUGGAGAGCAAAGACACCUGUGGAGAUCUUCAAGCCCUGAAGUAUGCUGCAGCUGGCAAGGCUACAGCCUGACAGCACCUGCGGCUGCUUAUAACAACAGCUUCUUGUGUUCAGCAGCAAAAAUGAAGUGCAGUGGAGUGCAACAGGUCAAGUUGGGAGAAGAGCCCUCUUAUGCCUAAGAACCACAUAAACACAUUGCAGAAAUGCUUGGAAGAACCAGCACUGCGUACUGCUCUCUUGUCUGUGCUGUGGUGAAAUCCAUCUAAAAUGGGAAAGUGCAGGAGCAACAAAAGCAUUAAUGUCUCCCCAGUCUCUGCCCCCAGAGUGUUUGUUUCAAAGCUUUCUCAGGGCUUUUGUGCUAGAAAAUGUGAGCGCACACCACAGGCACACACCACAGACCAAGCUACUUCUCUUGGUAUUUUCUCCAUAUGGAUCAGGGGACUGAGCAGAAGCUACUUGAACUUGAUAUUGUUUCAGCCCUAAGCAAGCAGCUGACUCUUGCAAAAACCACAGGUGAUAGUGUGCGUGUGGUCUGCAGCAAGGCUUUGGAUUACUACUGCUUAGUCACUGAGGCGGAGAUGGUUUCUGCAGCAGCAAGCAAGCAGCAUAGAAGGAUGCUGCAGGAGUAGGCUCUGUUCCAGAAAAAUGACUGAAUGACUUUGAAAAGAACUCAGAUGUGGUUCACAGGCAGAAUAAAACACUACGAGAAAAGUCUUGGCCAACAGCAUGGAUGCUCUCGGGAGAGCUUCUGGCUUGGCUGAUCACACAUAAAAUGCUCUUCUUCCUCAUGCAUAAGACCUACCUUAGAAUGACCACACUUCCUUUCUUCCGCUGGGGAUGGAGUUUAUCCUUGACCACCCUGGAGAAACAGCAAGCAAAUUGUAUCAGAAAUUCCAUGUCUCUGCUCCCAUAGAAGUAUGGCUUCGUUUCAUGUAAGACUCAGCAGGAAAAGCCAGCCUGUAGCUCACGGUGGGCAAGUGUUUUUAUUACUGGGGCUAGUUGCUGUUUAGUAUAUGGAUACAAUUGCUUGACCACGUCCCUUUCUUUUGUGAGAGUUUGAUGGUUGCUUAGCACUUAUGAAUACACCAGGAGGGGCUUAACAUGUGCAGGCUUUAUCAGAAACUAGCUGUUCUUCCUUCCAUUCCUUGCUUGUGGCGACAGUAUGGAAGGUUAUGGGCCACAUCACUUCUCACAGAUCACGCUGACUUAGAUCUUCAUUUUCUUAUAGGCAUUUCCUUUCAGCUCUGAUCUUACUCAGAUCCUCUUGAAGCAGAUUCCACAGGAUCAGUGGCAAAAUAAGAAAUGUGAGCUUAAGGGCACAUUAAUACUUACGACAAAGUGGUGGUCAGCAGCCUAACUAGCCUAGUUCUCAUAAGCAAACACAUAGGAGGAGGCAGUGUGUUGCUGUUAAUUUUAUUCUUCUUCCACUCUGCAUCUCAGUAGGCAUUUGAAAGUGACAAUAAGAUUUCAAGGUGUAAGAUGAUGUAGAAAUGGCAUUUCAUUCCUGUUUCCUCUGUUAAUAUGUUAUUUCUUAAAAAGUUGUGAUCACAACAGAAUUAUGGAGAGGAUCUGGGGGCCUAGGGGUUUAAUUUUGAAUUUACAGCUUUUAAUUCUAGGAGCAUUUUUGUUUUUAAUUGGCUUCUCCAUGCUGCCAGCAGCCUUCUUGCCCACUGUGCAGAUCAAAGCCCUUAGCUGUAUUGUAAUCAGAAUGAGAAUAACAAAUCUGUUUGAUACCAUCCAAGUGUCACCUCGCACUGCACGAAAGCGUUGAAAGAUGAUUGCUUAAGGAUGAAAUAACUGACUGAGAAUGGUUACAUUACUCUCUGGCCACAGGUUGCAUUUGUUGCUUUGCAUGCAAAAAUUCUACCGAGAAAAAAAAGAGUUACUGGGCCAACUGUGAGCCAAUCAUAAGCUGUCAACUGGAAAAACAUAUUGGUUUAUCUUCAAGACCCCCAGCACUUCUCUGAUGAUUGCUGAGCUUGAAGAAGCAGAGUAAUGGAAGGAGAAAGACUAUUCAAAUCAGUUCAGAUUUUCAAUAAAUCAUAUAAUACUUUUUUCAUACCUGACCCUAGCAAUUUAAGCACAGGGAAAGUGGCCUCAGAAAAACUGUGACUUUUGGUAUGGUUCCUUCACGCCACCUUCUUAAUUAUACUUGGUAAAAUAAAUCCAUUAAAAGAAGCUGGCAGAGAUCUGAGGGGAGGGGAGGCAAGAAAAAGCACAGCACUAUAAUUGAAAUUUAUGAUGAUGGAUUAUUAUUGUCAUAUGAACAAAUCCAGGAAAAAAAAAUUGGCUUCAGAAGUAAGGAGAGGAAACUGCCUAUCCCGUUACAAGGUAACAACAGCUAUUCAGAUUAAGUAGCACAGAUGUGCUUAACUGAUCAUGAGUUUAGCACAUAAGGGAACAGUGGAUGGAAGCUCUCUGAGGCUGACCUUGACCUCAGCACUUCUUGUAACAACUCAAGAUACUAAAAAAUAAAUCCAUUUACUGUCUCUUCCAACAUAUAAAAGAAGCAAGCAUUGUUUAAUAAUACUGAGAAGAACACCAGCAGAAUUUCACAGCCCAGAGAACCAAGAUUAUUAGGAUAAAAUACUGUAAACUCUUGAAACAUCGGCAUUACAUUCCCAUGAACUCUACAAGACACUUUCCAGAGUGCUGGUUACUGGCAGAGCUAUAAUGAAAAAGAUGAAUACUGCUUACAGUUUGAAAAUCCUUUGAACUCAAGAAUUUUAUGAAAAGGGGAUGGGGAAGGGAAAAAAAAAAUGACGUGGAAUUCCCACAGAACAUAAGUUCAUUCUAGGGAAGAGCAUACUCUGCCUGAAUGUCCCCUGUGAUUGUUCACAGAUACCCGGCCCACUGGCAAAAUGAGCAAUGUUGACAGUGGUGGUUAAUCAGCUGAUUCAUAGACACUCAAGUGAUCAAAUAUGGGCCUAACUCAGCCAACUGGACAGCCUCCAAUAGUGGAAAUUGCAUCAGUGGAAAAAUCUAUAUGCUGCCUACAAGACAAAUUAUUAAAAGCAGAAGCAUUUUGACCAUAUCAAUCUAAUGAAGGUGGAUACCAGGGAAUAUGAGAAAUACUGCUUUACUAACAGUCAUUAUUUAGGUCUGCACAGCAUUCAUGUAUUUAUCAUUUAGACUGUUCACAUCAGCCUAACAUACACUGCACUACAACAGAGAGAUCUUAUCAGAGAUCCUUGUACUGCAGUGAUUUUGAGAUCAGCAGUUAAGUAUUUAGAGUGAAAAAAACCAACAGAAUUAAUCAGUUUCAGAAAAACUUCUCCAUAAAGCACAAGGCAUCAUCACAAGUUGUAUGAAUAUCAUUGAAAUGGAAAUGCUGGUGUGCUACUGAGUUCCACUCAUGUAGCUACUGGCCUUGUAACCAGUACUCUCCUCUGGAAAGUGUUCAUUUCCAAAACAAGCUUUAUGCAGCAGAAGAUGAAAGAUAAGAGCAUAUAGCCACCAGAGCUGUACAGCUUGCCUAGUGGAAAAGUUCUUCAUUUUUUUGUCACACACCAAGAGAAUGCAUGUUGUUAGCAGCGUUGCUGCAAAUGUAGUGUUUUCAUUAUAGGUCUGCCACUGUCAACAUAAGAGCUAUAUAGAUAAGCAGUUUAGUUAGUUCCCAGUUAGUCUGAAAAACCCAAAGCAAGGUAAAGUGCUGAAGCAUUUACUUGUUUUCAUACAUUUUGAAAAUGAAAUAUUUUUUUAUGCACACACAAGGGCACAAGUGGGAUAAACUGUAUCUGAUAAGUAUUAUUUGUAAGACCUCACAUCAAAAAUGGGAUAAAGUUAUUUGCCUUUGCUUAAAACAAAGAAUAAUUGAACUCUAAGAGCAUUCUACAACACAGACCUAAUCUUCUAGUGCAAAAAGAGAUUGUUCGGAAAACACAUCACCCAGUGUUGUAAUGGUAUUUAAGGUUCAGACCUUUGUGGAUUUGCCACCAGAGGCCUUCCCUACUUUCAGCAUGCGACUGGGCUAUCUGCUAGCUCUUUCCACGGCUCCCUUCAAGUCAUGACUGAGGAACAGAGGUUCAUUUAGUCUGGUUAACUUCAGCCCUGCCAUAUGUCAUUUCUGGAUCAGUGGCAGCCUCUAGUUAUUUCCCAGUGGCCUUGGUCCAAGGAAGGACUUUCCAGAGGCAGAAGCACAAAAGAGCAAAAGACUGAUGCUGGUGAUGAGCCAGCACCACUUGGCUUCCAAAUCAAGAUAAAACUGCAAUCGUACUUAUAUUUUUCCUGUGGGAAGGGUACUAUUUUUUUAUCUACCCCACGCAGAACUCUGAACAGAGUUUUACACACAUGCUUGUAUAUGCCACUGCCAUUGUGCUUUGUUCCAGGGCUAAGUGUUGGCAGAAUAAGUGCAGUUAUUAUAAAAUGUAUUAAUAUUUAUAAACACACUAUUGAGGAAAAUCAGUCUCUGUCAGAAGUGAACUGUCUAAACACAUUGUGGUGCUCUUUCACUCUGGGAAUAAUCUAGGCUGAGACAAACACUACUGAAUCCUGUUCUGGAAGAAUAAAUCCAAGCCCUCUAUGAAGUGAAAUUAUAAACGUUUGUUCCUAACAUUUUAUUUUUCUGUUUCCAAGCAGAAACUUCUGGGCAAGUUUAAUUGUGAAGGGAUUACUCAUUGGGUGAUAGCAGUAUGGAGCUGAAAACCAAACUAGAUUACCAAGAGAGUCUUCUAUUUACAUUUUGCUCUCCAAAUAAUAGACAAAAUGUGUAAAUAGCAAAUGCUUCAAUGUGUUGAAAUUUCAGUCAAAAUAAUUUUUGUGAAAAUCUCAGCAAAUAUUUUGGCCAUUUCUUAUAGCGAAGCAGUGUACAUCCAAGGUUCGAAUAAGGCAAGGAAUGAUCCUCAACUAACCAGUAGAAAGACUUCCACAGGAUUGGCACUGCAGCAGGGACGCAUGCAGAUCAGAUAACUGUACUGCCAGGAGUCCUUUGUGUUUAUCCUGCUGUAAUAAUUACAUGAGAUAUCACAUAUGCAUAUGCAUCAUUAGUAAAAAACAAAACAAAAAAAAACCACAAAACAAAACAAAAGACAAACCAACUGCAGUUGCACACAAUGGAUCUAUUGGUAGCACUAGUGGAGAAGUUCAAGUUCAUUCUAUUUUCAGACUCACUGUUAAAAUGACUCUUUUCAGAAUGUUUAAUCAGUGUACUGAGACAAUUCUUUUGUAAAAUGUUAUAAAAACUCGCAUGCCUAUAUUUUGCUGACAAGAGAGUUGAUUGAGUUUUUGUUGCUCAGCUCAAAAUGAGUACUUGACCUACUUAAAAGGCUUUUAAAUCUGUCUAGGUGCUUAUAUGACCCAUUUUUUGCCAACUUAAAACUUAUUAGCCAAGAUUUUAUAGCAAAUAUUCACCUGUACAUACCACUGUUUUCAUUAUUAGCACACACAAGUAUCUUGAAGUCGCCUAAUGCAGAACAUUAACUUUGUAGAUGUGUACACACCUGUGUACAUAUUUUAAGCAAACAACUUCCUUGAAUGCAAUAUUUUUUGAUAUCUUGAAAUGGACAAAAGAUGAAGAAAUGCUGAUCCAGCUAAAUAGUUUCCUUCAGCCCUUCUGGGUUUGCUUACUUGUGUCAUCUUGGAAGUCAGAAUGUACAUUAAGAGCGAGGAAAAAAAUCUCCUGCACGGAAUCACAAGUAUUUGUAUUCAAAUCCCAUCUCAAAAAGGAACUUCUUUUUUUUUUUUUUUUUUUUUUGUAAUCCUACAAUUAAGACCACUUGAUCCAAUGAGUCUAGAUUGCUGAAUUGACAAUAAAAGGUAUGAUGUUUACCUUGCACAUCCAGUAUGGCUGUUGUUUUACAGUAAAGCUCAUGUGACAGGAAAACAUUGGACUCACUGAAAGAUCUGGCCAUCAGGAAAGGAGUUUCAGCAACAUAUGAAUUAUUGUUGCUUUAUGCAUUGAGACUGAGCCAAAAUUCUUUCCACAGCCAUGAAUUGGACUAAUUUCCUCAGCCAGUGACUGUGGAAACCCUAUAGAAACAAAUCCCAAGCCAUAGUUUCAUUUGAAAGAGGAACACCACCUCUCUUUUCACCUCUUAACCCCACCUAACUACAGCGUCAUUUCAAGGGUUUCUGAGUUAAAAGCUCAGGCAAUGAUGAUUGCUCUACAGAUAGGCCUCAGGCCUCAUAGCCCAUUGGGGAGUGCCCAAGAGCUCCUUGGCCAGGGAACUCCUGCCCUCCACAUGAGGUGCCUGAGCUUUGCCCUGACAGUGGGAAGAGGGGCAGAGUCCCUCCAGCAGCAGGAGGAGGUUGGGACAGCCAGCCCUCCAGCUGUUUGUGGUCACUGGUGGAGGCAGGAAGGGUCAUGCACAGGUUUUGAGAAAACAGUGAAACUUGUGCAAUGCAGCACAGGUAAAAGAAGAGGCAUAAACCUACCUUGCUGCAAAGCACAGUGCAGCUGACUUUUCACCAGUCCGCAGUCCUUUUAAUCUAGAUAAGAGUGCUGCCCUAGCAUGACCUACAAGCCGAAGAAUUAGUUAAUUUUCCCCUCUGAUUAAUAGCUUGUGUAAAAUUAGUAGGAAGGAAAAAAGAGGUGCUAGUUAACCACCACAUCUUUCUUGGCGGGAGGAUGUAAACGCUGAAGGCAGAGAUAAUAUUACCUCCCUUGGGCAUCAGACGCUUGGUGGUUUGGAGCACAUGCCUUUGAUAAUCAACAUCAGUAUCUCUUUCAUGUCACUGAACAGAAAAUAGGGCCUCUUCAAAGAGACUAACUCAGAAAAGAAAUUGUUAAACAGGCCUGGCUGGGUUGAGCAAUGCUGGAAAUUAAGUACCCUGGAGGGGCAGGAUUAGAAGUGAGGUCAGCACCCUCACUCAGGGCAAGGGAAUACAUUAAUGGCCCUCUGUGCUGCCUCUGAAGUUGCGAUGGCUGUCACUGAAUAUUCCUGCAGACCUCUCUUUCUCUCCCUCCAUAUGCUGUCCUGAUGAUUAGCAUUCUGCCUUCUUGUCAUAAAAUACAUGAAUUAGUCAGUGGCCAGGAGAUUGCUGGCCUAAGCUUUUGAACUGAUACGGAGCUUCAAUUACACAGCCUCACUGAGAAUUUUUUUUUUUUAAUCCUGACUUUUUCAUAAUGUUAAUCCGCUGGUAGAUACUUAUUCUUUAUCUAAGACACCAAGGCGUUCAGCAAAUGCACAUGAAAGAGCAAGGCUUUGUUCCUUUGCCAUCCGGACUCUUGUUUAGUGUGUGCUUCAAAUAAGGGAAUUACAUUCUAAUGACUCACAGUUUUAUUUGUCUUAACCCUUCUGGAGACAAAUGAUUUGCUGUGCAUGUUGAUGCAAUGAUGACAUCAUUUCUCUCUUGGACGAUAACUAACACAGAAUCCACCUUUCAGCAAAAAUACCUUUAGAAAAGCACAUCUGGCUUUAGUCUGGGAAUUUCAAAGGUUCUUCAUAAAACUGAGCUCUCGGUAGCAAUGAGCUUUGGACACCUUGCACUGCCCUACCCUUCUGGAUUGGCAAAGCUCCAUGAGAAGUGCUGCAGAGAGUGAGGAGAAGAAGAUGUGCUUGAAAGUGUGUCUCUAUAGUGUAGCUGAGCCAGCACCUUCUGGACAGCAUGGAGGCAGAGAGCCUGGAGAGCUGCACACUGGGACACAGCCUGUGCUAGGCCAGCCUGGACAGGGAGCGAUGCUGUAACCUGCAUGCUGCUCACAGGUCCAGUGUAGAAAUUCAAACAUACCACCUAAUGAAAGCAAAAGGAAACAAGAUGUUUAAUUUAGGUGACUUAAGGCACAGGCUUUCCAGCCUAUAUUUCUUGAGACCAGAUUCUUUGCCUAAAACCAUUUUUGUGUAUGGUUCUUGUUAAAAAGGGUUUCAUUUCUGUCCAGUAUAAACAUGUAUAAACCAAUUAAAUACUGCCUACACAAGCCAAGAAACUUAGUCAAGCACUUUGCUAGCAAGCUCAGAACAUAAGCCCACAUGCAGCUGGUGGAGUUUGGAUUCGGGUGAAGACAGCACCUGAGAACUUGUCACUGCCUACAUAAGUCUGGACAUACACUUCUUGCACCCAGUGCCAGCAAUUUGCUCACUUGUUGAGGUGAUAAUGAAAAAUUGAAACACUUGAGAGCAAAUCUUCCUCCAUCCACAGCUUACUGAUAGCUUAAAUUGCUAUGCACAUUCUGUCUACACAAAUACAUCAUUUCAUUUCCAUUUAUUUGCAGGAGCAGCUUCUUGCAUUUUUUAAUCUUAGACAGCUUCACAAAGACUUCAACAUCCAGGCCUCAAACCUUGGUAUAAAGAGGACCUUAAGGACAGAAGCUGACGUUUCCAAAUAACAGCAAGCUGAGAUCCCAAGAGGCUUACAAAUUCCGUUCUGUUUCUGGUCAAGAAAGAGCAGAGCCUGGUAAGCAGGGUCCUCCUGUGGCUGCAUGAAAAUGCCAUACACGCAAAUGACUCAAACAUGUUUCCUGUGUGCCCAGCCAAUGGGAAUGCCAAGGAAAACAGGAGAGAUUAAAACUUUAUCUCCAACAGCAGACUGCCUUCCCAUAGCUUCUGCUGCAGUGUUGGGAAUUAAAUAACACUGAGGAGGAAUCUAGUGAGUGAACCAGUGCACACCAAAUAUGUCCAGGCUUGGUCCUAAACCAGUUUCACCCAGACUGUGCAAGGAGUCUACCCAGUACCCAAGAACAGCAGCAAUCUCCACAGAAGGCUUAGGGAAUCAGGGAACAAGACAACUUCUAUGGUAGUACUUUGUUGUCCCAGUCCAAAAUUCGGCACAAAGCAGAUGAUCCCUACAGGUCCAUUCCAAUCCCUACGAUUCUUUAAUAUGUGCUUCCUUUCACAGAAAUAACAUGUUUCUGGAAAGGUCUUCUCUCCAAAAGAUCACCGAAUCAUAGACUCAUAGAAUGGUUUGAGUCAGAAGGGACCUUUAAGAUCAUCUAAUUCCAACCCCCUGCUAUAGGCAGGGACACCUCCCUCUAGACCAGGUUGCUCAAAGCCCCAUCCAGCCUGGCCGUCAAUGCCUCAAGGGUGGAAGCACCCACAACCUCUCUGGGCAACCUGUUCCUGUGCCUCACCACCCUCAAAGUAAUGAAUUUCUUCCUUGUAUCUAGUCUAUAACUACCCUCUUCCAGUUUAAUUUUACAAUUAAAUCUCACGGUAUCUUUUUCAGGAAUAUAUCAGUCAGCAAGGGUUUUUAUUGUUGUUUUUGUUAUUAUUAUUAUUAGUUUUAAUGUGGGUUUUAUUCUGUUUUUUCUUUUGGGAGGAGAAAACUAAGGGGUGAUGCAGUUAAGCAUCUGUCUGAGGCCAGAGUGGAAUCAUAAGCAGAUUGAUCCCAAAUUUCCAUGUGUGCCAUCCCACGCUCAUUAUUCCAUGAUAAAAUUCAGGAAGUCUCACAGCUAAAGCUUGGAUGCUAUUUUAAAUUGUAUAGUGUGGAUUAAGUUUAUUACCUAUGUUAAUUACCUAGUCCUGCUUCAAAUUCCACUCUCAGUUCAGUGGAAUCCAGUUCACCAGAAUCCAUAUAGGACUGUGAGGUCAACAGAGGUCUGUAGCUAUAGGAUGUCUCUUUUUUCCCCCCCCCUUUUUUUUUUCUUUUUUUUUUUUUUUGAAUAUUUCUCAUGUACCCCCAAUGCAGCCUCAAUGCAAGACUUUGUGCUUCAUUUAUGCUGUUUAAUAGUUGGUAUGGAUAUUGACUAAGUAACUACAAAUCAACGAAUUUCAUUAAAAACAAACUCUCACUAUUGUUUGCUUAGCUGAGAGACUUUCUGCUGUAAAUCCAGAAGAGCAACGAUGACAGCCUGCUCAACAAGCUGUCAUUCCGUUUUUUUCCUGCAAAGAGAAAACAUAGAAACAGCACUAUUUCCUGCCUUCUUUGAUCAGUGGUUAUAGCAAAAGACAUAGCUUUAACGUGACAAUUCAGAUGCAAUCAUAGAAUUAUUAAGGUUGGAAAACACCUCUAAGAUCAUCAAGUCCAAAUCUCAAGCCAUCCCCACCAUGCUCACUAACCAUGUCCCUCAGUGCCACAUCUACAUAUUUCUUGAAGACCUCCAGGAAUGGUGACUCCACCACCUCACUGAACAGCCUGUUCCAAUCCAUUACUACCGUUUCUGAGAAGAAUUUUUUUUAAUAUCCGACCUGCUAUAUGCUUGGGAAAGUAGCAUUGUUGCAGCAGUACUGAAGUGAACAAUGCAAUUAAGAGAGGACUUGACUGUAGAAAGUAAACUUGACUAAACCCAAGAUAGGCAGACUUACCAACAAAUAUUUAGAUACUACCAGUAUUACAUGUAAGGACAGGUCAAGAGUUUUUUAAGUUUUGGUUUUAAAGAUGUGAAUUCAUAGAACUCCAAGCUACCUUUCCCUUCAUGGAGCACUUGUUACUACAAAAAAAAUGCCUGCUUUGUUAAAAGCUCCCUGUUGACAACGACAAGUCUGAAUAAACAGUCAGCUGGCACAUUAGUUUCUAUUAGCUCAAGUUUACAUGCCUUGUCAUGCUCUUCCAGCUUUCAUUUGUCACUAAGCUACGCAAAAGCUCAGCAAACACUAUUUCCCUUCAAACUUUCCCCAGGUUUCUUUUGUAGAAGAGGAAAAAAGGAAAGAAAAAAAAAAUGGGGGGGGAGGGGGUACAAUGGUGGGAGAGGACAGAAUCAUCAGUUCUUCUGCAGGGCACUCCAGCUCUGCAUGGAAGAUCCAGCUGAAGUCUUUCAUCUUGAGAUCAAGAGACCAGUGUUGAGCAGCAGCAGUCUGGAGCCAGAGCCCCGGAGCGAAAAGCAGCCAGAUGGGGGGCUGUUUCAGUAGCACAGAGUAGUUGGCCACAGAGUCUCUGUGCUACUGAUGGAUCUGCAGGCCAAGGAGUUGUCAGAAGUCAUUUGUUUUCAUUUUUUGCUGACCUUAACGAUAUAUAGAACUUUCUUUGCUUAUGCUGGGAUACUGGGUGCUUGCACAUGCUCUGCACAGGGCCAGGGCAGCUGAAAGACUGGGCAUGUGGGGCAACUACAGUGUGCACAGACAGCAUGAACAUACAAACACAAAUGCAGGAAGAACAAGUAUUUAAGAAUUUUGGCAUAAAACCCACAUGAAGAAAAGCCAGUCUACUCAGCAGCAUAUUCAUAAAUGAGCUCCAGAGACCAACCCUCACACAAAACAAACCUUGCGCUGUGGCUGCAUGCUCAGCACCUGGAGAGCAAUGAUAGGACACUGUGCUAUAACCUCCCAGCACAAACACUGCCCUGGGCUCAGUCUGGUUCUAGUUUUGUGAUGUGCAAGGAGUCAAAGUGACCUCGGCUUCAUUGAAACUCCCCGCUCGCUAUUAAAAAGCCAGCAGGGCUUGACAGGAAUAGCAGAAACCAGAUGGGAAAGCACCAGGACUGGGGACAGUGGGGCUGCAGAUCCAAAGGUCAGUGCUACUCCGCAGGGAGUGCCUGAGCUGCAUGCUGUGAUUCCAGCCCUGGGGCAGCGUCUGCUGCAAGGGGCUUCUGCCCAGCAAGAGCACCUGGAAGUCAGGCUGAGCUGGUUUGUUUUUAUGAGGAGGGGAUAGGGGUUACACAGCAGAGCAGAGAGGGAAAAGCAGAUGGUGAGCUGUUUUCAUGGCCCUGUCUGCUCAAUAGCGGCUCUUUAAGAGGGCAGCCAGCUUCCUGCAAUGCUUGGUGCCUGCCUUACCGGCCUGCUCAUGAGGAGUGCAGUGGACAGAAAUGCAGUGCUGCCACUGGCAUCAAAGCAUACAACCAAAGCCUGAUGAAACGGCUGGCUCCCUGCAAAGAGUGAGAACCAUGCAUCCUAGCCCUCAGGGGCAUACUGCCCCAACAGGGAAUGCUAGGAAAUCCCAAGAUAAAUCUGUGAAAGUAGCCUUCAAGCAGGAUAUGGUGCCGCGGCCUCUGUUCAUCCUUAGAUGUUAUUGCCUCUGAGCAGGAUGAGUAUCAACACAGGGGGUGGUGGACCUUUGUCAUGCAGCAGGAAUGUUAACAUCCUCCAGAUUUAAACGGCGCCAUCUGAAGAGCAGUUCAUGUGCUGAAAUUAAUUUUUCAUGUGUACAUCAUGAGGUCCUAAUAAAAUUGUUAAAAAAAUAAAAAUGAAAUUGCCUUUGUUGUCCUCCUAAUAGGACUCCGUUGGCAUUUCUCAUUGCUGUUGUCUGUAGACAACAAGGUUGUUUUUAAAGUUAUGGUAUCAGCCUCGCAAAAUGAAAGGGAUUAAAAAGACAAAAACAAAAUGUCAAAACAACAGAACAGAAAGAGGAUUUUUGUCCAUAAGGGGGAAAAAAUAAAAAGGAAGGAAGAAGAAAUAGGAACGCGCCAAGAAGCAAUAUAAAAAGAAGCAGGGACUUUUGAUGUUUUCUUUUCCCUCCUCCUUCAUUCUUGGCUGAAUUAUAGGGCGUAGCAUAGCAUUUUCAAAGCAUCUUUUACAAACUUUAUUUAGUACAGUGAUUCACAUUUCCUGAGCAAGGUUAACCGAAGGGAGGGAUAUUUCUCCCCUUGCCCCCGGCUAUUCCCCAACUUUCAGCUAAAUUGUAUCACAUUGUUAAAAAUAAUUGUCAGAAAGGAACAUUUCCUGAUCUCUUCCAAUUGCAUUGUUUUCCCCAACAAUGUGCAGGAUGGUUCAUUGCUAAUUUUAGCGAGCGUUUUUUUAUUGCUUUGCACAAUCUGAAGCCUCUUGCAUAACACAGAUGCACACAGUUAAGGCUGAGGACUUCAUGGUUCUGGUGUGCGAUGACCAUGUCUCCAUCCAAACACCUCCAGUUUGCAAAAGCAAGACGUUAUGUAGAUAGGACAGCUGACUUUCUCUUCUAGAUAAAGUAAAUCACUCCCCAGGAGAAACUAGAGCUGAGCUCAGAUGCAGGAGGCAUCAGAGCUUAUAGGGAGUUCCAUGCCUGCACAGACAUCACCUCAAUCUCUAUGCUCUAGCAACCCAAAGAGAUGAGCGCCAGCCAUGCCAGAGCUCCAGCAUAGCAGAAAAAAAUACAUUGGUGAUGGGGGCAACCCUAUACUCAGUUAGAGCAACAGAAAGUAGAGUGGAUGAGGCAGGGUGGUCAAAGCAGCUACUUGGGAUCAUCAGCAAUAAGAAAAGAGAAAAGGUCUGAAAAAUGCAGUAUCUUUUCAAAGAGCAUCUGACUACUGAAAAAAAAAAAAAAAAGAAAUCACUGUUGGAAAAUUUUACUCUGUCCUGUUUCCAUUUCACUGACUACAAGAGAAGCUCCAGUAGAAACAGCUGUAAGGUCAGAUUUGUUUGAAAGGAACAGAGAGGAGAGCCUCUGGUUUCUUUCCAAAAUGCCGUUUGUUUAAGAUUCACAAAGGGUCAGGAAGAACAAAUUGCAAUGGAUACUCUCCCUGUGUAGCCAAACAUAUUUCCAAGCAGAAACACGAUGUUAUGAAGAACAAACAAGUAAAUAUAAAGGAAGCUGAAGAAAACCCCAAUCCUAAAACCUGGCUGCAGAAUGGUAUCACUCUAACACAUGCUCAGGGAAUAAAACUACUUUUAAAGCAAUGCGGGGGGUGGAAAAAUGUUAGCUAUGACUUAGAUGAAUGCAGAGGGUCACUUAGGAGAUAGUUACUUAUCAGAAUGAGCAUCCUAGCUCUGACUCAAACUCUGCCAGCGUGGCUUAGUUUUGAUCAUCUGUUGCAAUCCCUUGUACAACACAGGAAAUUGUGUAUCAGCCAGAAAAGCCAUAGCUCUGCUAGAGAACGUUGAAGGCACACAGUAAUAUGUGCCAUCUGCUACCCAUAGGAUGUGAGGAGGUGUGUUUAGGUCCUUCAUCUCUACUCCGUAUGUUCCAAAAGCAGCAUGUUUAGCUGCUUGGAUGUUUUUAUUCCCACAUGGCUUCCCCUAAACACAUACAUGCAGCUCCAUUUCACCAAAUAAUGGAGAAAAAUGCAAAGGAUGACCUGGAGGACGCUAGUCUACAUGGAUAGUAAACCACAAAUAUCAUACUCCUUUCUGUGUGCACUACUAGAUAUUUACAACAUUCUACAUUUAAGAAAAGUUAAUAAGAGAUUUAAAGGGAAUGACCUUGUAAAGGGAAAACAUCUACUGGAUAGAUCUAUGUGAUCCUUUAUUGAUGUCCCAAGUCCUAAGCAAGACCAAAAGCUGUAUAUUCAGAGGACACUGUUCAUUUACCUGUAACUAAGCCUGACCUACAUUUUGACUUGGGUCAACAGAGGCUUUCAGAAGCCCUGCCUGGCUGGCCAGAUCCCUCUACUCCAGGCACUGGAAGAUUGAGACAGGCUGUCUGUCCUGUUCUCCCCCAGUACUGGGAGCCAUGGCUCCAGCGAUGGAUUUCUCCACCCUACUGCCGUACCAAUAAAGUGGCAACCAUCUUGCUGAACUUUCAGGUAAUGAAGCUGCACUUUUCUCUAACUGCUAUGAUCAGUUACAGUUUAUAUUAAUCAAAUAACACCAAUGUAAAGCGAUGGGCUGCCAGGGGACGGGAAAGCAUUUUACCCUCAGCUGUUCCUGCUAUGUUUGUGUGCACAGUUCAGCUUACCAUUAACAAGGGCAAAUCAUGAUCCAUAUCCAUCUCCAGUCUGAUGCUGGGUCUCUGAAGUAAUAAACUGAGAACUAAUGCCACUUAGGAGAUUUCUGCUGUACUUCAGUGACCACUGAAGAUAUUAUCAUCUUUACUCACUUCAGUUCCUAACAGUUUGAGAAAAAGUCAGGCCAGUUGCUGGGUAUAGGUGCAUGAUAAAUCUACUCAUGCCUUGGUUUUCUUCCACACUGCAAACCAUCGCUCAAAAGUACAGCCUGGGGUACAGCUCAAGCACCAUGCAACCUGCCAUGCAUCACAGGAUGCAUUUUUGCAUGCCAGGUCUCAGUGCAGG
Molecule: long non-coding RNA, 21648 nt
Filed under: Gallus gallus (chicken)
Lineage: Eukaryota; Metazoa; Chordata; Aves; Galliformes; Phasianidae
Source: RNAcentral